Molecule: long non-coding RNA, 3419 nt
Organism: Herpailurus yagouaroundi (jaguarundi)
Lineage: Eukaryota; Metazoa; Chordata; Mammalia; Carnivora; Felidae
Exons: 2
Source: RefSeq, a predicted model, not a curated record
UUAACUAACUGGAAUUUAAAUAAAAAAUUGAAACAAAAAAGGCAUAUUAUGUUCUUGAGAUAAAUGAGUAAAUAUUACAAAAAUGUCAAUCUCCUCUUCCAAAUAGUUCUAUAACUUCAGUUUAAUCCUAAUCAAUAUCUUUUUUUGUUCUUUCAGCCAUUUUUUAAAUUUGCAGUUCUUGUUCAAUGCAAAUCAAUUCCAUAAUAUGAGAAGUUACUAUGAAUCAAAGCAUAGAUAUACACACACAAUAUACAAUCCAAAGUAGGUAGACAACAUUCAGGCAUGAAACAAAAAGGAAUGUUCAUUCAAACACAGUAGCUUGAGAUCUGUUGGAAAUGGUUGUUAUGGCGUGGGUUCCUAAAGUUGGGAAAAAAUGACUUUGGUCAUCAAGACUAUUGUGGCCAUAUUAGAUAUUGGAACAUUUAAGCAUCAGUGGGGAGAUGAGUGGGCAGAUGGGUUAGAUAGGUGAUGGGCAUUAAGGAGGGAACUUGUUCUGAUGAGCCUCAGUGGGUGACCAUGUGAACAAAAUAUUUUAGAAUGUCUAUUUUUAAAAAGCUUUCUGUGCAUCUGGGCAGUUGUGAAAAGAUGUACUUUCCAGAAUCAAGCCUUCUUUGGGCUUAGAAUGAAGUUCUAACCAUCUAAAAAUAUUGGCGAACAGAAAGUUUUCCAAAUGUGAUUAUUCUGAUUCAGAGUUAAAAAAAAAAAAGUAUUUACAAAAAGAGUAUAAAAGUUUUCCUGAAUUUAUUGUAAGUAAGCUUCUAGUCUUCACUUCCCAAAUACUUGAUUUAUAAUUUUGGCUCCUGCACAUAUUUUGUCUUUUUAAUUUCAAGAUUUGUUAAUUUUACCUUCACAACAGAUUUUUUUAAUUGCAAAAAGUAUUCAACAUAAGCAGAAAUAAAAGCAUUUUGAAAUUAGUUGAGGUCAAUGUACUCCUACUUUUUGGAAUCAGUUUAGAUAAACGAAUCUAGCACUCUUGUUGAAUAGGAAUGGGUGAUAUGUAUAUAAGCAAAAUUUGCUCAUUAUGCUUCAAUCUGGGGUAGAUUCCAAUCUAUCAUUGCCUUGGCACAUGUCAAAUACUAUAUAAAAAAUCAAAUGCAAUGUCAAAUCCAAAGCCUCAGGGAAAAGAGUUCAGUUCCCAAAAAACAGUGAUAGCUCAACAAUGUAAAACUUUAUCUAGACUACACUGGCAUUAAAUCAGUACUGCUGAGACAAUACAUUGAGGAUUUACGGCAACACCUGGAAGUUUCUUCCAUGUACAUAUAAAUAGCAUUAUGGAAGCUUUUUGUAUUAACUGUUUUAUGGCCUUAAAGAUUUAAAGAACCAAAUGAAAACUGAUUCUGUUGACAUUCCAUCCUUUAUAUCCAGGUAAGAUAAAAUCUAUUCUCAUUUUCAAGGUAGAAUUUACCUGUCCAUACUUCUUAAGGCACCUUUAAAGAAAUCAUACCUUAACUAAUCUUGGAUGUUGUCUCUUCAUCUUGUACAUGCAACUCCAGUAGAUUUAAUAGACAUUCAUCAUCCAGACAAUAGACUCUUCAUAUGUUCUUCAAACCAGUAAAACUUGGGAUCCUCAACAUUUUCUGUGUCAAUAAAAUAAAGUGUGGAAUUAGCAGAUUCAACAAGGACCUGUUUUCUUUGUCACACUGGCUGUCUAGACACCAUUUGGAUUGGGUUUAGAAGAUGGGGAAGUAUAGAUGUUUCUUGGCCUGAGUCUCUUAACCGUAGAGAUGUAGAAGGUAACAAGAUGAUGAAGAGACUGGCUGUUGACUGCAGAGCACUGCUAGUUGUCAUGGUGAUGCCAUUAGCUGGAUUUGGGGCAGUUGAGGUAUUCUGGGAGGAGUUACUUGAAAGUGUUACAGGUUUUUGAUUUGAAUAAAUCUGUGUGGGUAGAAGCAGCUACAGAAGAAGAAGCCCCAGUGAGAGCCUGGCCAUCAUCGCCCUACCCAGGUCCACUCUGCCAGUAUCAGUGCUCUCACUUGAUGCCACAUGAGUGGAGACCCGCUGGCUCAAGGUGGGGGCAGGCAAGGUCUCUAAUCAAUAUAUUAAUAGAUUUUUUUAAUGGAGUUUGACAAGAUGGUUCCAAAAUUCGGAAAAGACAUUAUCUAAAAGUAUGUAAUUUUUUAUUUUUAAAAGAAAGAGAAUGGGCUAGACUGCCAUCUAACAUACUUUAAAUAGGUAACAUAUGGAAUGCGGCAGUUUUGGUGCCAAAAAGGUUAAAUUAGAGCUACAACAGAAUAUAGAAAAAACAAACACUACUAUAGAUGGAAAACUGGCAUUUCCAGGCAGUAGGAAUAGAACAAGUUGCCAUUAGUGUGUAAGAAAAGUUACACUCUAACUCACAAAAUUCAAUAGCAAUUACAAAUAGAUUCAAGUUUAUUUUUUAAAGUUUAUAUUGAAAUAAUAAAAGAACAAAAACCUUAAAUGGUUAAAAUAAAUUGCAUCAGACUAGAGAGACUUGUAAUAUAUAUGAAAGGAUUCAUAUCCCUAUUUUAUAAAAAAAAAAUUGUUCAAAAAUAAUGAGAAAAAAAUUCCAUCAUAAAAUUGGGUCAAAGGCAUGAAAAAAUAAUGUCUAGAAAGGAUGGUAAAAAUGUUUAAAAUGGUGAAAAAUGCUCAACUUCACCAGGGAUUCACAAUGUGUAAAUUAACACAAUGAGUUAUUUUUCUCCCACAAGACUGGCCAAAACUUUAACUAUAAAUCAAACUUUAUUGAUAAUGUGGGGGAAUGCACACCACUAUUUAUUAUUAGUGGAGGUGUGAAGUGGUACAAAAUUUGAAAAGAAAUUUAGUAAUAGCUUUCAUUUUAAUAUACUUCAUACCAUUUAACCCAGAAUAUUUACCACCGGGAAUUAAAAUGUUAUUUUAUCAAUAGAAAACUGGUGAAAUAAUCUUUUGUAUAUCCAUAGCUUAGAAUAGUACCUAAUGUCUAUUUUUUAAAUUGUGGUGAAACAUACAUAAUUUAAAAUUUACUAUUGACAUCAUUGUUUAGUGUAUAAUUCGGUAGCAUUAAGUACGUUCACACUGUGGUGAAACCAAUCUCCAGACUGUUUUCAUCUUACAAAACUGAAACUCUGUACCCAUUAAAUAACAACUCCCACUCCUCCCUCCCCCAGCUCUUGACAACCACCAUUUUCUGUUGUUUGUAUGAAUCUACUACUCUAGAUACCUCAUGUAAGUAGAAUCAUAUAGUCUUUGUAUUUUUGUGACUUGCUUAUUUCAUGUAGUAUAAUGUCCUCAUGUUUCAUCCAUGUUAUAGCAUGUAUCAGAAUCUCCUUCCUUUUCAAGGUUAAAUAAUAUUCCAUUGUAUGUAUAUACCUCAUAUGGGUUUUUUUUUGUUUAUCCAUGCAUCUGCUGUUGGACACUUGGGUUGUUUUUACCUUUUGGCUAUUGUUAAUAAUGCUAUUAUGAAAAUGUGUAUACAAAUA